GACAGAGGGUGCAAACGUUGUUCGGAAUUACUGGGCGUAAAGCGCGUGUAGGCGGCCCUGCAAGUCGGGUGUGAAAUCCCACGGCUCAACCGUGGAAGUGCACUCGAAACUGCAGGGCUAGAGUCCUGGAGAGGAAGGUGGAAUGCUUGGUGUAGAGGUGAAAUUCGUAGAUAUCAAGCGGAACACCGGUGGCGAAGGCGGCCUUCUGG
This 209-nucleotide ribosomal RNA is filed under the name uncultured bacterium. RNAcentral describes it as "partial 16S ribosomal RNA". It matches the Rfam family "Bacterial small subunit ribosomal RNA", at positions 524 to 732 of the family's 1533-position model. The record is from RNAcentral.